AUUGAACGCUGGCGGCAUGCCUUACACACGCAAGUCGAACGGCAGCACGGGAGCAAUCCUGGUGGCGAGUGGCGAACGGGUGAGUAAUGUAUCGGAACGUACCUUUCAGUGGGGGAUAACGUAGCGAAAGUUACGCUAAUACCGCAUAUUCUGUGAGCAGGAAAGCAGGGGAUCGCAAGACCUUGCGCUGAUUGAGCGGCCGAUAUCAGAUUAGCUAGUUGGUGAGGUAAAGGCUCACCAAGGCGACGAUCUGUAGCGGGUCUGAGAGGAUGAUCCGCCACACUGGAACUGAGACACGGUCCAGACUCCUACGGGAGGCAGCAGUGGGGAAUUUUGGACAAUGGGCGCAAGCCUGAUCCAGCCAUGCCGCGUGAGUGAAGAAGGCCUUCGGGUUGUAAAGCUCUUUCAGCCGGGAAGAAAACGCAUGGGUUAAUACCCUGUGUGGAUGACGGUACCGGAAUAAGAAGCACCGGCUAACUACGUG
RNAcentral lists this ribosomal RNA (484 nucleotides) under uncultured bacterium. Its description in RNAcentral is "bacterial SSU rRNA". It matches the Rfam family "Bacterial small subunit ribosomal RNA", at positions 30 to 507 of the family's 1533-position model. The record is from RNAcentral.